This is a non-coding RNA of Taeniopygia guttata (zebra finch), 1465 nucleotides long. NCBI's taxonomy places the organism in Eukaryota, Metazoa, Chordata, Aves, Passeriformes, Estrildidae. The record is from RefSeq and is a predicted model, not a curated record.
UUUUUUUUAAAUGACAAUACUGUGUGAUCUCUAAUGACCAAGCUGCUUGUCAUUAUGCUCUUGGACUCUAUUUCAUGAGUCUUCAGCGAUAAAAACAAUUGUAUUUAAUCUUAAACCGGUGGAUAUUCUGGCCUUCCCUUCCCAGAGGCAUUCAUUCAUUUGCUAUUCCUCCCCCUGUCAUGGUGCUGCAGCAGUACACAAUGAUCAGUCACUGCAAUGUACCACAUGCCAACUCCAAAAGGACUUGAGCCAGCAGCACUCAGAGUAAGUGAGUUUCUUAAUGUAGCACACAGCUGAUAAAAAGAGAAAGAUAAAUGAAGCCCAUAAUUCAUCCACUGUUUGCACUUUCUUGUAGUGAGACGUAUCACGUUGCUGAGUAAGAUUUUAAAUGUAACCCCCCCCUUACUAUUUGUUAUUAACCAGCCCUCUUCCCCCCAACCAGUUAUAUAAAAUGAAGUGAAAGCAACCUUUAAAAAUGAAGGCUAACCGAGCACUACAGUUAAAUGAGAUCACUUUCCUUUUAGGUUUGUUAUUUUCAAUCAAAUCUUAUAUAAUGAGAAUUGAAAUUAAAUUUAAAAAAUCUCCGGUGCAGGAAAAUAUAAAUGUAAAAUGCUGUUAAUGCUCUUUCACUACACAGUGGCUACCACCAUAGCUAUCAUUGGGUUUGCUAAAAAACUGAUUAGAUGAAGCAUUGUAUCCAGAGGGCCUAUGCACAUGUUAAUGGAUUCUUCUGCACUCUGUGGUUAACCAAUUAAAAUUCAUCUAACUACUGUGGAUUUGAAAGUCUGAUAGAAGCCCAGAAUUUAUUGAUUUCCUGUUUCAACCUAGGUUGUCUACCUUGAGACAGAUCAGAGGGAAAAGCUGAAUUACAGGUGACUUGGAAAACUGGUGAUGGGACAGCAAAGGCAAAUAAUUAAGAUGCAACUAUGCCUAGAGAAAGAUGGGUGGAGAAAAGGGUAAUAUGUUGAAAGAUAUUUCCAUUAGCUUCUACAAACUUAUUGAAAACAUUUGGCCUUAUUCUUCUGCUCUAACACAGAAUGCAGCCCUUGUGAGGGAAAGAAGACAGCCACUGAUCUGUUCUCUCUGAUAAGAGAUAUUUGGAAACCUUGUGUUAUUUAAUACAUCCAUGAACAGCGUGAGAGAUUUGCAUGACUUGAGAAUAAGUGCCCUUUCUCUGCCUAUGAUAUCAUCAGGUAGGAACUAACAUUAUACAUUGCCCAGUAAGCUGCAAGCAUCUGGGAAAUUUCAUGUAGCAGAUUAUUUUUCAUUUACACUUUCAUGUAUAUAGUACAAUAUUCUAGGUACUGAUUUAUGAAUACUGAGGCUUAAGUUGGGAGAGAUAUUUUAUAAGGUGAACAAAAUUUAAAAAAUGAAGGACAUUUCUACUUCUGUCCAUAGACAUGUUCUUUUAUGGAGUUAUUCUGUAAGAUUGUGUUGAAGUAUUUUGCAUAGCAGAACCUGAUAA